GAUGAACGCUGGCGGCGUGCUUAACACAUGCAAGUCGAACGGUGAAGGCGGAGCUUGCUCUGCUGGAUCAGUGGCGAACGGGUGAGUAACACGUUAGCAAUCUGCCCCUGACUCUGGGAUAAGCGCUGGAAACGGCGUCUAAUACUGGAUACGAGCUGCGAAGGCAUCUUCAGCAGCUGGAAAGAAUUUCGGUCAGGGAUGAGCUCGCGGCCUAUCAGCUUGUUGGUGAGGUAAUGGCUCACCAAGGCGUCGACGGGUAGCCGGCCUGAGAGGGUGACCGGCCCCACUGGGACUGAGACACGGCCCAGACUCCAACGGGAGGCAGCAGUGGGGAAUAUUGCACAAUGGGCGAAAGCCUGAUGCAGCAACGCCGCGUGAGGGACGACGGCCUUCGGGUUGUAAACCUCUUUUAGCAGGGAAGAAGCGAAAGUGACGGUACCUGCAGAAAAAGCGCCGGCUAACUACGUG
RNAcentral lists this ribosomal RNA (468 nucleotides) under uncultured bacterium. RNAcentral's name for it is "partial 16S ribosomal RNA". It matches the Rfam family "Bacterial small subunit ribosomal RNA", at positions 28 to 507 of the family's 1533-position model. The record is from RNAcentral.